This 252-nucleotide ribosomal RNA is filed under the name uncultured bacterium. Its description in RNAcentral is "partial 16S ribosomal RNA". It matches the Rfam family "Bacterial small subunit ribosomal RNA", at positions 524 to 776 of the family's 1533-position model. The record is from RNAcentral.
UACGGAGGGAGCUAGCGUUGUUCGGAAUUACUGGGCGUAAAGCGCGCGCAGGCGGUCUUCCAAGUCAGUGGUGAAAGCCCGGAGCUCAACUCCGGAACUGCCAUUGAAACUGUGAGACUGAGUAUGAGAGAGGUGAGUGGAAUUCCCAGUGUAGAGGUAGAAAUUCGUAGAUAUCGCAAGAACACCGGUGGCGAAGGCGGCCAACUGGACCAUUACUGACGCUGAGGCGCGAAAGCGUGGGGAGCAAACAGG